Molecule: long non-coding RNA, 921 nt
Filed under: Homo sapiens (human)
Lineage: Eukaryota; Metazoa; Chordata; Mammalia; Primates; Hominidae
Description: non-protein coding lnc-RPIA-3:1
Source: RNAcentral
GUCCUGGACAAAGCUGCCAGUCAGAGCUGCUUGCUCAGUGUGGGGCAUCUGGUGUGACUGGUGGGACCCUGUGUUUCAAGGGUCACAGUGCUCCCUGGAACCCCAUACUUACUCUGAAGACAGCACCCCACCAUGUACCCCUUCCUUCUGCCAUGGCCACAUGAGCCUGCAAGAGCUGCCAGGCUGACAUGGGGCUUUCUGGCCACAGUGACUGAUCCAGGGAUGGGAAGAGAUGUAGCCUUGGCGUUGGAAGUUUUCAAGUCUUGGGUAUGUCUGCAUGCACAGUAUUGGCAGCGUGAAAAUGGACUUCAAAGGAGGAAUGUGUCACUAUGAGCUCUCUGCCAUGUGAGGGCGCCAUCCCACAAGGGAAGGAGAGGAGAGCUGGCUGGACAGCAGCACUCAUGUACAGAAUGCCAGUGGUCCCGUGGUACAGGCUGUCAUGGAAAUGCAGAGCAGAGCCACAUAUGGCCAUGUCACUCAGGCUCACGGCAGAAGAGACUUCCCUUGUCUUAGAUGAGACUUCAGACUUGGACUUUUGGGUUAAUGCUAGAAUAAGUUAAACUUUGGGAGACUGUUGGGAAGGCAUGAUUGAGUUUUUAAAUGUGAGAAGGCCAUGAGAUUUGGGAGGGGCUGGGGGUGUAAUGAUAUGGUUUGGCUCUUUUUCCCCACCCAAAUCUCUUCUCUAAUUGUAAUCCACAUGUAUCAAGGGAGGGACCUGGUGGGAGGUGAUUGAAUCAUGAGGCAGUUUCCCCUAUACUGUUCUCAUGAUAGUGAAUGAGUUCUUAUGGGAUCUGAUUGUUUAAAAAUAUAGCACUUUCACCUCCCACCUCUCUCCUGUUGCCAUGUAAGGCGUGCCUUGCUUUCCCUUCACCUUCCACCAUGAUUGUAAGUUUCCUGAGGCCUCCCUAACCAUGAGGAACU